GUCCAGCCUGUGUUUGCAAUUAAUCUUGUGAAAAAGACAACAUGAUAAUCCCUAUUAGAUGUUUUACCUGUGGCAAGGUGAUUGGCAACAAGUGGGAGGCUUAUAUUGGUCUCUUGCAAGUCGAAUACACAGAAGGAGAUGCCCUGGAUGCCCUUGGACUUAAAAGAUAUUGUUGCAGACGAAUGCUGCUUUCACAUGUUGACCUCAUUGAAAAACUUUUGAACUAUGCUCCCUUGGAAAAGUA
Molecule: long non-coding RNA, 244 nt
Organism: Pomacea canaliculata
Lineage: Eukaryota; Metazoa; Mollusca; Gastropoda; Architaenioglossa; Ampullariidae
Exons: 2
Source: RefSeq, a predicted model, not a curated record